GAUGAACGCUGGCGGCGUGCCUAAUACAUGCAAGUCGAGCGAACAGACGAGGAGCUUGCUCCUCUGACGUUAGCGGCGGACGGGUGAGUAACACGUGGAUAACCUACCUAUAAGACUGGGAUAACUUCGGGAAACCGGAGCUAAUACCGGAUAAUAUAUUGAACCGCAUGGUUCAAUAGUGAAAGACGGUUUUGCUGUCACUUAUAGAUGGAUCCGCGCCGCAUUAGCUAGUUGGUAAGGUAACGGCUUACCAAGGCAACGAUGCGUAGACGACCUGAGAGGGUGAUCGGACACACUGGAACUGAGACACGGUCCAGACUCCUACGGGAGGCAGCAGUAGGGAAUCUUCCGCAAUGGGCGAAAGCCUGACGGAGCAACGCCGCGUGAGUGAUGAAGGUCUUCGGAUCGUAAAACUCUGUUAUUAGGGAAGAACAAAUGUGUAAGUAACUAUGCACGUCUUGACGGUACCUAAUCAGAAAGCCACGGCUAACUACGUG
RNAcentral lists this ribosomal RNA (497 nucleotides) under uncultured bacterium. Its description in RNAcentral is "partial 16S ribosomal RNA". It matches the Rfam family "Bacterial small subunit ribosomal RNA", at positions 28 to 507 of the family's 1533-position model. The record is from RNAcentral.